GGAGAGGCUGUGCAAUGGUGAGCUCAACAGGCUGUAAACCUGCCGUCUAAGACUGUGCUGGUUCGACUCCAGCCCUCUCCACCA
RNAcentral lists this transfer RNA (84 nucleotides) under Marine Group I thaumarchaeote. RNAcentral describes it as "tRNA-Tyr". It matches the Rfam family "tRNA". Rfam says of the family: Transfer RNA (tRNA) molecules are approximately 80 nucleotides in length. Their secondary structure includes four short double-helical elements and three loops (D, anti-codon, and T loops). Further hydrogen bonds mediate the characteristic L-shaped molecular structure. tRNAs have two regions of fundamental functional importance: the anti-codon, which is responsible for specific mRNA codon recognition, and the 3' end, to which the tRNAs corresponding amino acid is attached (by aminoacyl-tRNA synthetases). tRNAs cope with the degeneracy of the genetic code in two manners: having more than one tRNA (with a specific anti-codon) for a particular amino acid; and 'wobble' base-pairing, i.e. permitting non-standard base-pairing at the 3rd anti-codon position. Lineage: Archaea; Thermoproteati; Nitrososphaerota. The record is from RNAcentral.